This 251-nucleotide ribosomal RNA is filed under the name uncultured bacterium. Its description in RNAcentral is "partial 16S ribosomal RNA". It matches the Rfam family "Bacterial small subunit ribosomal RNA", at positions 524 to 774 of the family's 1533-position model. The record is from RNAcentral.
UACGUAGGGGGCGAGCGUUAUCCGGAUUUACUGGGUGUAAAGGGAGCGUAGACGGUUCUGCAAGUCUGAAGUGAAAGCCCGUGGCUUAACCGCGGAACGGCUUUGGAAACUGUGGAACUGGAGUGCUGGAGAGGCAAGCGGAAUUCCUAGUGUAGCGGUGAAAUGCGUAGAUAUUAGGAGGAACACCAGUGGCGAAGGCGGCUUGCUGGACAGUAACUGACGUUGAGGCUCGAAAGCGUGGGGAGCAAACA